Molecule: long non-coding RNA, 345 nt
Filed under: Brassica napus (rape)
Lineage: Eukaryota; Viridiplantae; Streptophyta; Magnoliopsida; Brassicales; Brassicaceae
Description: long non-coding RNA (BNAP_LNC025079)
Source: RNAcentral
UUUAGAUUUUAGGGUUUAGGGUUUAGGGUUUAGAGUUUAGGGUUUAGAGUUGAGAAAUGAGGUUUUGGGGAUAAGAUUUCAAAUUUUGAAAAAUAAAAAAAUUAAAAUUUUCAAAGGAUAAACUUAGAAAGGUUCUAUUUUGGUCAUUUUAGUUUUUGAGUGCUAUUUUUGUGAUAUAAACUUAGAAAGGUGCUAUUUUUGAGAUUUGCCCAUUUAUAUAUGUUAAACUAUAUACUUAUACAUAAAAGUGGAUUUAAAAUAUAUUUAUGUUCAGUUUAAAAAAAAUAAUAAUGUAUAUAUUAAUCAUAUACUUAUAUUUCGUGUAAAAGUAUAUAUCCGUAUAUA